CAGUAGCCGCGGUAAUACGGAGGGAGCUAGCGUUGUUCGGAAUCACUGGGCGUAAAGCGCACGUAGGCGGCUAUUCAAGUCAGGGGUGAAAGCCCGGGGCUCAACCCCGGAACUGCCUUUGAAACUAGAUAGCUUGAAUCUUGGAGAGGCGAGUGGAAUUCCGAGUGUAGAGGUGAAAUUCGUAGAUAUUCGGAAGAACACCAGUGGCGAAGGCGACUCGCUGGACAAGUAUUGACGCUGAGGUGCGAAAGCGUGGGGAGCAAACAGGAUUAGAUACCCGCGUAGUCCCUGUCUCUUAUAC
RNAcentral lists this ribosomal RNA (301 nucleotides) under uncultured bacterium. RNAcentral describes it as "partial 16S ribosomal RNA". It matches the Rfam family "Bacterial small subunit ribosomal RNA", at positions 509 to 807 of the family's 1533-position model. The record is from RNAcentral.